This 429-nucleotide ribosomal RNA is filed under the name Pseudomonadota bacterium. RNAcentral's name for it is "Proteobacteria bacterium partial 16S ribosomal RNA". It matches the Rfam family "Bacterial small subunit ribosomal RNA", at positions 355 to 776 of the family's 1533-position model. The record is from RNAcentral. Lineage: Bacteria; Pseudomonadati; Pseudomonadota.
UGGGGAAUAUUGGACAAUGGGCGAAAGCCUGAUCCAGCCAUGCCGCGUGUGUGAAGAAGGUCUUCGGAUUGUAAAGCACUUUAAGUUGGGAGGAAGGGCAGUAAGCGAAUACCUUGCUGUUUUGACGUUACCGACAGAAUAAGCACCGGCUAACUCUGUGCCAGCAGCCGCGGUAAUACAGAGGGUGCAAGCGUUAAUCGGAAUUACUGGGCGUAAAGCGCGCGUAGGUGGUUCGUUAAGUUGAAUGUGAAAGCCCCGGGCUCAACCUGGGAACUGCAUCCAAAACUGGCGAGCUAGAGUAGGGCAGAGGGUGGUGGAAUUUCCUGUGUAGCGGAGAAAUGCGUAGAUAUAGGAAGGAACACCAGUGGCGAAGGCGACCACCUGGGCUCAUACUGACGCUGAGGUACGAAAGCAUGGGGAGCAAACAGG